RNAcentral lists this ribosomal RNA (253 nucleotides) under uncultured bacterium. Its description in RNAcentral is "partial 16S ribosomal RNA". It matches the Rfam family "Bacterial small subunit ribosomal RNA", at positions 524 to 776 of the family's 1533-position model. The record is from RNAcentral.
UACAGAGGGUGCAAGCGUUGUUCGGAAUCAUUGGGCGUAAAGCGUACGUAGGCGGCUCAUUAAGUCAGGUGUGAAAUCCCAGGGCUCAACCUUGGACGUGCACUUGAAACUGGCGAGCUUGAAUCUCGGAGAGGGUGGUGGAAUUCCCAGUGUAGAGGUGAAAUUCGUAGAUAUUGGGAGGAACACCGGUGGCGAAGGCGACCACCUGGACGAAGAUUGACGCUGAGGUACGAAAGCGUGGGGAUCAAACAGG